GCACCAAUUCUCAAACGUCAUUUCGUUUGAAUAGGUUAAGCUCCUCUUGCAUUGCCAAGGUCCAAUGCUCAUCCCCAAUUUCUUCGGAAAUGGUUGAGGGUUCAAUUUGAGAAACGAAAGCAGUAUGUCCUAAGGUGUUCUUAAGAUUGUUUCGAGUACUUACCUUUUGUUCAAUGUCGCCAAUUACCUUGUCGAGAGGAUGGUCU
Molecule: long non-coding RNA, 206 nt
Filed under: Nicotiana benthamiana
Lineage: Eukaryota; Viridiplantae; Streptophyta; Magnoliopsida; Solanales; Solanaceae
Description: long non-coding RNA (NBEN_LNC025703)
Source: RNAcentral